UACGUAGGGGGCAAGCGUUGUCCGGAUUUAUUGGGCGUAAAGAGCGUGUAGGCGGCCAGGUAGGUCAGCUGUGAAAACUCGAGGCUCAACCUCGAGACGUCGGUUGAAACCAUCUGGCUAGAGUCCGGAAGAGGAGAGUGGAAUUCCUGGUGUAGCGGUGAAAUGCGCAGAUAUCAGGAAGAACACCCGUGGCGAAGGCGGCUCUCUGGGACGGUACUGACGCUGAGACGCGAAAGCAUGGGGAGCGAACAGG
This 253-nucleotide ribosomal RNA is filed under the name uncultured bacterium. Its description in RNAcentral is "partial 16S ribosomal RNA". It matches the Rfam family "Bacterial small subunit ribosomal RNA", at positions 524 to 776 of the family's 1533-position model. The record is from RNAcentral.